RNAcentral lists this ribosomal RNA (428 nucleotides) under uncultured bacterium. RNAcentral describes it as "bacterial SSU rRNA". It matches the Rfam family "Bacterial small subunit ribosomal RNA", at positions 355 to 776 of the family's 1533-position model. The record is from RNAcentral.
UGGGGAAUCUUGCACAAUGAACGAAAGCCUGACGCAGCGACGCCGCGUGAGUGAUGAAGGCCUUCGGGUUGUAAAGCUCUGUAAAGAGAGAAGAAUAAGUACAGCCUAAUAAGCUUCAUAAUGACGAUAUCUCCUUAGCAAGCACCGGCUAACUCUGUGCCAGCAGCCGCGGUAAGACAGAGGGUGCAAACGUUGUCCGGAAUUACUGGGCGUAAAGCGUGUGUAGACGGCCACAUAAGUCGGAUAUGAAAGCCCCGGGCUCAACCCGGGAAAUGCACUCGAAACUGUGUAGCUUGAGUACUGAAGAGGUUGGUGGAAUUCUCGGUGUAGAGGUGAAAUUCGUAGAUAUCAAAAGGAACACCAAUGGCGAAAACGACCAACUGGACAGAUACUGACGCUGAGACACGAAAGCGUAAGGAGCAAACAGG